AAGUAAGCCACCUGCAAACAUUUAGUAUAUCUGUAUAUGCGGAUGUAUGUCCUCAUUGCCUCUCUGGCAUGAGUUACCAUGAAUAAACAUUUGACUCAUUGAUUUUAGUGUUGCUUGGCACAUAGGUUUUCAAUCAGCACAUAUGUCGUGAAUAAUACAACAGUUACCAAUGUGAUAUUUAUUUCUGGAUACUGAAAGUUUGUUUUGCUUCAAUAAUUUAUGAAAAUGAAUCAUGCUUUCUCCAUCAGCUUUGGGAAUAUCUGCAGCAUACAUCAGCCCAGAAGGGUCACACUGAGAAUCUUUGUCUGAUUGCUUUAUAGCAACCUAAUCCCACAGUAUUAAAAGAAAAAGCCUCUGCUCAGUAUAUUCUGCCCAAUUAUAUAGAUGAACAUAAAUAGAUGGAUAUCGGAAUGCCUCUCGUGUGUGUGUCCUACAUAAUUGUCUCGCAAAGACCAAGAAGCCCACAGAACUGUUCUUGUGCUGCUUGUGAGGACAGAGAAGUUGAGCAGCAGACUUUAAUAUGGCUGAACUUGGCUGGAAUAAACAUUAUUUUAUGCUUCAGAAUCUGGGGCAACCAGAAGUCAAGAACACGAGCUCUGUCGUGGAAUGCAAGUGAAGCUAUAAACAGUCCAUCCUUCAGAGCCAGAGAACUGCUGGCAGAAGAAAGCUUUGGUGCUCUGUUCCCCACCAAACCCAGAAGCUGGAUCAAAUCCUGCCACCACACUUACCUGGGGAGUCCAGUGAUUUUGUUAUCUUAUUCUUUCAAAUUAAUUUCACCCUACCUCUGAGUCGAAGACCAUUCCUUACAUUACCCACUGGACUUUUUAAUGCUGUGACAUGACUGAAUCUUUUUCUUUACUGAUGAAAUCCAGACUCAGGAUAAAGCAGCUGGUUGCAGAGGAAAGCGGGAAAUGGCUUCAGCAGAAGAACAUUCCAGUCAGUGUCAUCCUUCUGUUUUUUUUU
Long non-coding RNA from Dromaius novaehollandiae (emu), 963 nucleotides. RefSeq lists it as uncharacterized. The record is from RefSeq and is a predicted model, not a curated record. The transcript is spliced from 5 exons. NCBI's taxonomy places the organism in Eukaryota, Metazoa, Chordata, Aves, Casuariiformes, Dromaiidae.